Molecule: ribosomal RNA, 253 nt
Filed under: uncultured bacterium
Lineage: Bacteria
Description: partial 16S ribosomal RNA
Rfam family: Bacterial small subunit ribosomal RNA
Source: RNAcentral
UACAGAGGUCCCAAGCGUUGUUCGGAUUUACUGGGCGUAAAGGGUGCGUAGGUGGUUGGGUAAGUCUGAUGUGAAAUCUCCGGGCUCAACCCGGAAAUGGCAUUGGAUACUAUUCGACUAGAGGGUUGGAGGGGGGACUGGAAUACUUGGUGUAGCAGUGAAAUGCGUAGAUAUCAAGUGGAACACCAGUGGCGAAGGCGAGUCCCUGGACAACUCCUGACACUGAGGCACGAAAGCUAGGAGAGCAAACAGG